RNAcentral lists this ribosomal RNA (497 nucleotides) under uncultured bacterium. Its description in RNAcentral is "partial 16S ribosomal RNA". It matches the Rfam family "Bacterial small subunit ribosomal RNA", at positions 28 to 507 of the family's 1533-position model. The record is from RNAcentral.
GAUGAACGCUGGCGGCGUGCCUAAUACAUGCAAGUCGAGCGAACAGACGAGGAGCUUGCUCCUCUGACGUUAGCGGCGGACGGGUGAGUCACACGUGUAUACCCUACCUAUAAGACUGGGAUAACUUCGGGAAACCGGCGCUAAUACCGGAUAAUAUAUUGAACCGCAUGGUUCAAUAGUGAAAGACGGUUUUGCUGUCACUUAUAGAUGGAUCCGCGCCGCAUUAGCUAGUUGGUAAGGUAACGGCUUACCAAGGCAACGCUGCGUAGCCGACCUGAGAGGGUGAGUAGCCAACCUGGAACUGAGACACGGUCCAGACGCAUACGGGAGGCAGCAGUAGGGAAUCGUGAGGAAGGGGCGAAAGACUGAGGGAGAAAGGCCGCGUGAGGGAGGAAGGUCGUCGGAUCGUAAAACACUGUUAUUAGGGAGGAACAAAUGUGUAAGUAACAAUGCACGUGUUGACGGUACCUAAGCAGAAAGCCACGGCUAACUAAGUG